UGAACUUAUUUAUUUGGCUUCUUUCCUUACUUAACUUUCAUCUUCCCCCCCCCUUUUUUUUUUUUGCGACCUGCUGCCUCAUUUUCCAUUCAUAAAUGUUGCCUUCAUAUAUUUAAAUUCCUUCAGAAUGCCACUAGUGACAGAUGUUGGAGCAUCUGUUUCCAUGGCAAGGCAACUGCUGGAACUGAACUCUGCUCUGAAAACUAGCCAUACUCCCAGCAUGCCUGUGUUUGGGGUCCUAGAAGUUGGUAGCUUUCCUCAAAGGAUCAUGUACUUCAAGAUCCUGUUAAUUGAUUGAAAAAGGCAUUCCAGAAUAUCCAGUCUGAGUGUAAGAACCCUGUGGACUCUUCUCCCCGGGCACCUCUUCUGUAGGAGCCGAUCUGCCCCAUUGAGGACCUUUCAUCUGCACAAGGGGCCAGGCAUUCUCCCAAGGCCUGGCAGACAGUAUAGGAAGCAGGAUCUGCUCCUGAAGAAGGGGAUGGCUCAAGACAGUGCUGCCGCCCAGACAAUGAGGAAGCCAGCUGGGAUAGCUAGAAACAAAGCACAGCACUUAAAUCUCAGCAUCAAGUGCUUAUCUAUGUCUUCAAUCUGUCACAUUUGGCUCCGACUCCUUUUUCUCAUGCAUCUAUUAGGGGAUGGAAACAAAUGUUUCAUUCAGCAAUAGCUUAGAAUCUCAUGCCCAUUAUAAAGAUAACCAUAAAUAAAUGAAAGCUAGAAGGCCAAAA
Homo sapiens (human) is the source of this 725-nucleotide long non-coding RNA. RefSeq lists it as uncharacterized. The record is from RefSeq and is a predicted model, not a curated record. NCBI's taxonomy places the organism in Eukaryota, Metazoa, Chordata, Mammalia, Primates, Hominidae. The transcript has 2 exons.